This 404-nucleotide ribosomal RNA is filed under the name Actinomycetes bacterium. RNAcentral's name for it is "Actinobacteria bacterium partial 16S ribosomal RNA". It matches the Rfam family "Bacterial small subunit ribosomal RNA", at positions 355 to 776 of the family's 1533-position model. Lineage: Bacteria; Bacillati; Actinomycetota; Actinomycetes. RNAcentral also lists the same sequence under 1 other name. The record is from RNAcentral.
UGGGGAAUAUUGGACAAUGGGCGCAAGCCUGAUCCAGCCAUGCCGCGUGAGUGAUGAAGGCCCUAGGGUUGUAAAGCUCUUUCACCGGUGAAGAUAAUGACGGUAACCGGCGAAGAAGCCCCGGCUAACUUCGUGCCAGCAGCCGCGGUAAUACGAAGGGGGCUAGCGUUGUUCGGAUUUACUGGGCGUAAAGCGCACGUAGGCGGACUUUUAAGUCAGGGGUGAAAUCCCGGGGCUCAACCCCGGAACUGCCUUUGAUACUGGAAGUCUUGAGUAUGGUAGAGGUGAGUGGAAUUCCGAGUGUAGAGGUGAAAUUCGUAGAUAUUCGGAGGAACACCAGUGGCGAAGGCGGCUCACUGGACCAUUACUGACGCUGAGGUGCGAAAGCGUGGGGAGCAAACAGG